AUGGUGCCUUUCCAUCCUGCCCCGGGACAUGUGGGGAAGUGUUGGGGUGAAUCGUGGCACAGACAUCCCCUUCUGGGGACAAGGAGGGCAGCUGGGCUUGGGGUGACUGCUGAAAAGUGGCCACCCACCCUGAGCUGCUGGAGACCCCGGGAGUGACAGCGGGGGCAGCUCAGGGUGAAGGUGGAGCUGGUCCCCAGGUGGCACAGAAGGAUGGGAGCGGGACAGGGGCACUCACCCGGCAUUCAGCAGAACUGACGGGACUUCCAGCCCUGAGAACCAGCCUCGGAGGGAGGGAGCCAGCGCAUCUGCGAAGACAAGGGGGACACAAGGUGAGAGGGAGGUGGCUGCCCACCCUGGCAAGAUCUGGCUGUGUCUGGGCUCCCUUUUCCUGGCUUUUCCCAGGCACAGGGCGGAGGGAGGUUGGAACACCAGCAGCACAGCCAUCCCAUCUCCAAUUCCAAACAGUAACACCGAGGCUGAGCACAGUCCCUGGCGCCCCUGCUUCCAGCAGGAUGGAGCUGGGACAGCAGCAUCAUGGUCCCACUGAGCAGGAGUGAGCUCAUCCUUCUUAGCUCCUGCAAAGCCCACUUGAAACAGGGCGGAAAACAUCACAUGCCAGAAUUUGGCGUGCAAGCGCUCAGUGCUCUGCCAGAUAACUCCAAGCCAGCCCCACCAUCCAUCCUGCAGUUCCUGGUCUCUCUGCUGUCUGCAGGAUCCAGCGAAGCAGCUCCAGUUUGGAUGGUGGCACCAGUCUCCAACACCCCACCCCCCAGCAAACCCCCAACACCGGCAGCUGCACAGGAGGAUGGGAAGGUGCUACCAGCACCCUCCCCACCACGUUGAUAUUUCACAUCAGCUAAUAUUGCUUCUGUCUAACAUCAGGUCUCGGGCUGGGUUUUCCCAAGGGACCCUCAGAGCUUCUGUACGCCUGUUUCCUUGGCUAUAUGCUUUCCUGAGCAGGGCAGGUGCUGCCUGUUAGCAGUUAUUUGACAAGGCAAGUACGUAGCUGCAAUAUUAUUUACCAAUGCUCUUCCUAUGAACAGCAGGGCCCAAAAAGCUGGAGUUUGAUCCAAAGGCUGCACAUUGCUUGCACACUGAGCACUUCUCCUCACCCUCCUGCUCAAACCAGCCCCUGGCUGCUCCAGGUCCCAGUGAUGGUGGCUCUGGAUAACCUGGCUCAAUCCUGAGGCGCCAAGGCCAAAAGCCUUUCAGAUGCAGUUUGGCUGGCAAAUCUAUUUCCACGUGCUUGUUGAACUCCUGUUCAUCACUGAGGUGGAGCAGGCAGCAAGGAGCAAAAGCCAGCAUGAUGUCCAGCACGGAUGCUGAGGAGGCGGAUGGUUAAUUUUUAACAGCCACAUGCUGCCAUCGGGGGCCACCGGCAGCGGCAGCCAGCAGGAAGCGCUUGUGAGGAGGCAGCACCUCGUCAAUAAAAGAUGGAUCCUCCAUUUGCGCUUCACUUCCCUCUCCUCCCCAGUGAGAGCUGCUUGGCUUCACACCCCACGAACAGCGCGCAGCGAUGCUCCAGGGGCAGCCAGGGGUUCUGGAGCCCUCGUCCCACACUGGCCAGCUGGAUGGGCGGUUCGGUGCCAGGAGCGACGGGGAUGCUCCAGACCCUGAGAGCAUCCCCAGCCUUCCCUCCUCCCUCACCACCUGCCCCACCACAGGAGCAGAGCUGGCCCCGGAAAAGUCUGAGAUGCCACGGCUGAGAGCCGGCUCACAAAGCCAACACAGAAUUCACCCGCUGGGAUAACACAGGGUGAGCAAUGGUACAGGGCUGGGGGCAUCAUUCAGGGAGCCCAGGCUGGGCUCGUUGUCUCUAAGAGGUUUAGUAAUCCCAGGGAUUCAGGAGAGGAGAGAGUGCAGCUCAUGCCUGCGUGCAAUAGCAAGGUGAGGAGCUGGUGUCUGCAUGAGAGAAGCUCUUCUGGAAGCGGAAACAGGCAUGGAGCACUCACAAGACAUUGCCAAGGUCUCUCCUGAGACCUCAUCCUGCUCCCAGGCACCGUGCCAGGCUGGCUGUCACCUGUCCCAGGUCCUCUCCAGCACCAGCAGUUCCUUCAGGAACCCCCAGGACGUGCCACCACGCAGCAAGCAGACUUAGCUGGGAUUUUUCCUGCUGAGUAAACAGGAGAGGCUGGGAAUGCUGUUUCUCACUUGUAUCUAAGGCUGGAGUCAAGACCUCCUGGAUGGCCCUGAGAAAGGUGAGAGGGAUGCAGCCCCCCCAGGAAGGAGGAUGCAGAGGGAUGAUACCAGCCUGAGAGGAACCUCCUGGGCAGACAAAAGCCUUAAGCCACACCUGAGUGAUGCCGAAUUUUUGGGAGGGGUGUCCCUAUAUCCUCCAUGUGGCCACAGAGGAAGCUGCUAAGGCAUCAUGGAAAGGUAACAGGGACCUGCUCUAACCCUACCAGUCCUCUCCAGGAUAAAAAACUCACAGAAUCCCAGCACCUUCCUACCCCUGUCUGGCAAACAGGAUUUCUCCGUCAUCUCGGAUCCCGGACUCCACAGACAAUGCCUAUUGUCUCAGUUUAAUUGCAGCAGCUCAUUAAGGACUGGGAGAAACAAACACCAACUCUUCCUCCUGGAGGAAAGGCCCUGCUUUAGAGGGGGCUGGAUUUAAUCAGCUUGUCCCUGAUAAGCUAUCUCCCCCAUCUCCCAGCCUGGGAGCAGCAAACAUUCCUGCUUUGUGGAAGAAAACCUCUGGCUGACCUGUAUCUAUUAAAUAACAAAAGACAGAUCCUCCUGAGCUGUCCAGGGAAUCGGCUCUCCAGACACAUCCACCCUCCCAGGUGGGGUUACAUCCCGAGCAGGCCGAGCAUCCCUGCACAGUGUCCCCUCUCUCCCUCACCCCUGGAGCCAUCCCUGGCUUUCUGCCUCUGGAGAACUUCAGGAAGCAUUAGGGAACUUGGCCACAGCUCCUCUGGGAGGGACUGGUGGGAGUGGGGGAACCCGCUGCCAGUUUGCCGCAUCCCUGAAAUCCAAACCGUACGUGCCCAAGCCUGCCAGGCCAUUUAUCCCCAAAGCCACAUGGGAGAGAGACAGAGAUGAAAGACCCAAGGAACCCUCCGAAAUUCAGCCCCAGAGAGGAAGGGCUUCUCCUCUCUAAUGACUUUGUUUUCUUUGCAAGUUCAAAUGCGGGUCGGCCAAGUUUGAAUCUGUAAAAUUAUACAGCAGCAAGAAGGAGAAGGGCUCCAAAGGAUCCCCCAGCUGGACUCCAGCCCCAAAAGGGUUUUUGGGACUCAGGGCAGGGGAUGGAGGUGAGCUCCUGGGUGCUCCCCACGUGCACCCCGCAAAUGUACCCAGCCCCAGGGAUGUUUGAGUGGGUGCUACAUAAACAGUGUUGUUUCACUGGGUAACGAGCAGGUGGGACUGGCAGAGCAAGGGAGCAUCCAAGGGGAUAAUCCCAGCAGGCUGGACAGAUAUUCUUUUGCCAAGGGAAAGAUUCCUGACAGAAGUAUUACUCCUGCCCUUAAAUGGACAGGGAGCUUUGGCCCACAGGGAGCUCCUCCAGUUUUUUUUUUUUUGUGCUGAGAGAUCCCAAGGAUUCAUUCCCCAUCCUCUACUAGAAACACUCCUGGGGGAAAAUCUUUCCCUGAAGCAGGAAAAAAAAAAAAAAAAUAAAA
Long non-coding RNA from Parus major (Great Tit), 3617 nucleotides. RefSeq lists it as uncharacterized. The record is from RefSeq and is a predicted model, not a curated record. The transcript is spliced from 7 exons. Lineage: Eukaryota; Metazoa; Chordata; Aves; Passeriformes; Paridae.